AGCGAACGCUGGCGGCAGGCCUAACACAUGCAAGUCGAACGGAUCCUUCGGGAUUAGUGGCGGACGGGUGAGUAACACGUGGGAACGUGCCCUUUUGGUCGGGAACAAUCCAGGGAAAUUUGAGUUAAAACGGGAGUGGCCUUUGGGGGGAAAGUUUUACCGCCAUUGGAGCGGCCCGCGUCUGUUUAGCUAGUUGGUGAGGUAACGGCCCACCAAGGCGACGAUCAGUAGCUGGUCUGAGAGGAUGAUCAGCCACACUGGGACUGAGACACGGCCCAGACUCCUACGGGAGGCAGCAGUGGGGAAUCUUGCGCAAUGGGCGAAAGCCUGACGCAGCCAUGCCGCGUGAAUGAUGAAGGUCUUAGGAUUGUAAAAUUCUUUCAGCGGGGACGAUAAUGACGGUACCCGCAGAAGAAGCUCCGGCUAACUUCGUG
This 434-nucleotide ribosomal RNA is filed under the name uncultured bacterium. RNAcentral's name for it is "partial 16S ribosomal RNA". It matches the Rfam family "Bacterial small subunit ribosomal RNA", at positions 29 to 507 of the family's 1533-position model. The record is from RNAcentral.